AGAGGUUACUGCUAUCGAGGUUCGACUAAGCCAUGCGAGUCGAAUGUAGCAAUACAUGGCGAACUGCUCAGUAACACGUGGACAACCUGCCCUUAGGUUGGGUAUAAACCCGGGAAACUGGGUAUAAUCCCCUAUAAGUCUCGGCUGCUGGAAUGCACCGAGAUUAAAAGCUCCGGCGCCUAAGGAUGGGUCUGCGGCCUAUCGGGUAGUAGUGGGUGUAGCGUACCUACUAGCCUACGACGGGUACGGGUUGUGAGAGCAAGAGCCCGGAGAUGGAUUCUGAGACAUGAGUCCAGGCCCUACGGGGCGCAGCAGUCGCGAAAACUUCGCAAUGGGGGCAACCCCGACGAGGGAAUUCCAAGUGCUAGCACUUUG
RNAcentral lists this ribosomal RNA (375 nucleotides) under uncultured archaeon. Its description in RNAcentral is "bacterial SSU rRNA". It matches the Rfam family "Archaeal small subunit ribosomal RNA", at positions 19 to 398 of the family's 1478-position model. The record is from RNAcentral.